This 101-nucleotide small nuclear RNA is filed under the name Dipodomys ordii (Ord's kangaroo rat). Lineage: Eukaryota; Metazoa; Chordata; Mammalia; Rodentia; Heteromyidae. The record is from RNAcentral.
GCUUGCUUUGGCAAUGCAUAUACUAAAAUUUUAACAACACAGAGGUUAGCAUGGACCUUGUCCAAGAAUGGACACAAAUUCAUGAAGAAUUUUUACUGGGU